RNAcentral lists this ribosomal RNA (253 nucleotides) under uncultured bacterium. RNAcentral's name for it is "partial 16S ribosomal RNA". It matches the Rfam family "Bacterial small subunit ribosomal RNA", at positions 524 to 776 of the family's 1533-position model. The record is from RNAcentral.
UACGUAGGGUGCGAGCGUUAAUCGGAAUUACUGGGCGUAAAGCGUGCGUAGACGGUUGCGUAAGUCAGAUGUGAAAGCCCCGGGCUCAACCUGGGAAUUGCAUUUGAGACUGCGUAGCUAGGGUGCGGAAGAGGGAAGCGGAAUUUCCGGUGUAGCGGUGAAAUGCGUAGAUAUCGUAAGGAAGACCAGUGGCGAAGGCGGCAUCCUGGACCGGCAUUGACGCUGAGGCGCGAAAGCCAGGGGAGCAAACGGG